Molecule: ribosomal RNA, 274 nt
Filed under: uncultured bacterium
Lineage: Bacteria
Description: partial 16S ribosomal RNA
Rfam family: Bacterial small subunit ribosomal RNA
Source: RNAcentral
CUUAACUCUGGGACUGCUUUUGAAACUGUCAGACUGGAGUGCAGGAGAGGUAAGCGGAAUUCCUAGUGUAGCGGUGAAAUGCGUAGAUAUUAGGAGGAACAUCAGUGGCGAAGGCGGCUUACUGGACUGAAACUGACACUGAGGCACGAAAGCGUGGGGAGCAAACAGGAUUAGAUACCCUGGUAGUCCGCGCCGUAAACGAUGAAUACUAGGUGUCGGGGCCGUAGAGGCUUCGGUGCCACAGCCAACGCAGUAAGUAUUCCACCUGGGGAGU